AAUUCUGUCUGGACACAAAGGAAAAAUCGGAAUUGGCAGAUACUCUCUCGGUUACUCCCUGGUUGCAGUUAAUGAGCAGCCUGUUCGCCUGCAGCCUUUAGACAGGGAACAAGGGGCACAGCUUUUCCCACUUUAUUGGUUACUGACUGGGAAAGAAGGAUUCCACUAGCACUGCUUGGCUAUCAAAGCUGGGCAAUGUGAUCCUCUAAGCCACAUGUUUAGGAAUUGACAAACAAUUGUGGAGGUUGGCAAUUCCAAAAUCUGAGGAGUAGGUAAACUGGAAGACUAGAGACCCUGGGAAGAGUUGAUGUUACAGCUUGAAUCUGAAGGCAGUCUGCUGGAAGAAUCCCCUCUUUCUUGUAGAAGCCCCUUGACUGGGCAAACUUCAAACAAGUGACUGAGCUCCCUUAGCUGCCACUGAUUGGACCAGGAUGGACAACAAAUGUAGGAGGAGUUCAUCUGGAUCUAGCCUGAGCCAGUCAGAUAUCCCCUUUGAAUCCAUGCCUAUAGAAAUACAAAAAAAUGGAAGCCAGAGGAUGAUGGAUCCUUGAAGUAAUAAGUCAGGUAGAUCUUGAAAAUUUUUGACUCAAUCCAUAUUGAUGAACACAAGAAUAAUUCUGGUCUACAAAGAGAGGCAAGAGAAAGACUUGGGGUGUAUUAAGAAAAACAGCUCUGUGGAAGUUUGAGUGACUCAUUGCAGAGAGGAAUUGAUGAAGUCAACAGCUGCUGGAAAAACUUCUUUUUCCUUAAUAGCUGUAUCAACAUGUGGUUGCUAUUAUUCAAAGUGGAUGAAAUAAUUCUGCAAGCCAGUGGGAACAGGAAGCUUCAUGAAGAGGAGAAAGGCUUAGGGCUCAGAAACCGCACAGAGCAGGAGGAUAGAUGAAUGUAAGGAACAGAGCUUUGAGGACAGACACCCCUGGAUUAGACAAUAGCUCCAAAACUUAUUAAUGAUGGUGAAUGGGUGACUUUCUAAAACCCUUUAAACCUUAUUUGUAAAAUGGGACCAUCAAUAUCUAUUUUGAAAUCUUGUAUAAAUUUGCAAUAAUGUCUGUAAAGUAUCUGACAGGAGCUCAGAAAUGACACAAUUCUUUAAAUCCACUCACACCCAACUUUUAAACAAAAAGUAGCAGUAUAUCCUACACACGAUUUUUAAAUUUUACUAUUUAAGUUAACAUCAUGCUAUGAACAUAUUUCCAUGUCAUUAAAUAUUCUAUUCCAUCCAAUAUUUAAAAGCUAAUAGAAGUCUGUUAAAUGCAUAUGCCAUAAUUUAUUUAACCAAUUCGGUUGUUUUAAUAUUUAUGUUGUUUCCAAUAUAUUAUGCUAUUGACAAUAAAAUGAUGAACAUUUAUGAUGAUGAA
RNAcentral lists this long non-coding RNA (1358 nucleotides) under Homo sapiens (human). RNAcentral describes it as "non-protein coding LINC01510:2". The record is from RNAcentral. Lineage: Eukaryota; Metazoa; Chordata; Mammalia; Primates; Hominidae.